This 600-nucleotide ribosomal RNA is filed under the name uncultured Actinomycetes bacterium. Its description in RNAcentral is "bacterial SSU rRNA". It matches the Rfam family "Bacterial small subunit ribosomal RNA", at positions 252 to 866 of the family's 1533-position model. Lineage: Bacteria; Bacillati; Actinomycetota; Actinomycetes. The record is from RNAcentral.
GAGAGGUAACGGCUCACCAAGGCAUCGACGGGUAGCUGGUCUGAGAGGAUGAUCAGCCACACUGGAACUGAGACACGGUCCAGACUCCUACGGGAGGCAGCAGUGGGGAAUCUUGCACAAUGGGCGAAAGCCUGAUGCAGCGAUGCCGCGUGCGGGAAGAAGGCCCUAGGGUUGUAAACCGCUUUCAGGAGGGAAGAAAAUGACGGUACCUCCAGAAGAAGGUGCGGCCAACUACGUGCCAGCAGCCGCGGUAACACGUAGGCACCAAGCGUUAUCCGGAUUUAUUGGGCGUAAAGAGCUCGUAGGCGGUUCAGUCAGUCGGGUGUGAAAACUUGAGGCUUAACCUCAAGAGGUCACUCGAUACCACUGUGACUAGAGUGCGGUAGGGGAGCGGGGAAUUCCUGGUGUAGCGGUGAAAUGCGCAGAUAUCAGGAGGAACACCAGUGGCGAAGGCGCCGCUCUGGGCCGUAACUGACGCUGAGGAGCGAAAGCAUGGGUAGCAAACAGGAUUAGAUACCCUGGUAGUCCAUGCCGUAAACGUUGGGCACUAGGUGUGGGUCUCAACCAACGAGAUCCGCGCCGUCGCUAACGCAUUAAGUG